RNAcentral lists this long non-coding RNA (923 nucleotides) under Mytilus galloprovincialis (Mediterranean mussel). Lineage: Eukaryota; Metazoa; Mollusca; Bivalvia; Mytilida; Mytilidae. The record is from RNAcentral.
UCCGUACGUACCAUUUAUUAACAAACAUGUAUAAAAAAAAUGGCAUAUUUCCCUUCACAUAUUUGCAUAUCUUUCUGAUUCUAAUACUGACACACACUUUUUAAUAAAAUAUGAUAAAUACAGAAAACAGUAUGGGAAUAGGUACUGGAAAGAAAGUCAUAUCUAAAGAAAUAUUUUCAAAAAUUGUUCUAAAUGAUUUCUUUAUUUACGACUUUAAGGCUCCUGUUGUUGGCUGUUAGUACAUAAAAUGUAUUUUUACAUCUCUGGAAACCCUUAAUACAAUGUACUUAAUAAAGGAUUUUGAUUCUACGUUGUCUCUGCCAGCAUCAAGCAUUUUUUCAUAAAUAUAUAAGAAAAUUAUUUUAUGAUUGCAGAUAGAUCCAUAAGAUUGCAAACUUUUUUUAAGAAUACCUAAAAUAUACUUUCAUAGUGCAUUUCUAAUAAAAAAAAGCAUGCAAAAAAUGGAACACUUGGUUCAUCAUGGAAAAUUUCUGAGCUGCAGUGCAAUCCAGAACAAAUGUAUUCCCAUCUGCAAAAUAUCGACAACAGUCACAAUAGAAGAAUCUUCAGAAGUUUAAUAAAUUAAACUGGCAUCUUUAGAUUGAGUUAUUUAACUUUAUCAAAAAUUUAUUUUUUAAGAUAGCUUUUUUUUUUUUAAAUAUUGCAUUAUUUUUAUUUCUACUACUCUUUUCAUUGAUUUUAAAUAAUUUUAAUAUAUACACAUAAAUGUGUAACAAUGUCAUUAGGUUUAAUAUAUACACAUAAAUGUGUAACAAUGUCAUUAGAUUUCAAUGAUGUCAAUUCUAUAUUUCCAAACAUAAUUUGCAAAAAGUUUAAUUGGUAAUUUGAUCUAGAUGUUACCACCAUAUUCUAAUCAACUAACUGGCCUAAUGGUCUAUGAUUGUCUUUAAUGUGAUAAAAUA